Molecule: ribosomal RNA, 777 nt
Filed under: uncultured fungus
Lineage: Eukaryota; Fungi
Description: bacterial SSU rRNA
Rfam family: Eukaryotic small subunit ribosomal RNA
Source: RNAcentral
GUGCCAGCAGCCGCGGUAAUUCCAGCUCCAAUAGCGUAUAUUAAAGUUGUUGUGGUUAAAAAGCUCGUAGUUGAACCUUGGGCCUGGCUGGCCGGUCCGCCUCACCGCGUGCACUGGUCCGGCCGGGCCUUUCCCUCUGUGGAACCCCAUACCCUUCACUGGGCGUGGCGGGGAAACAGGACAUUUACUUUGAAAAAAUUAGAGUGCUCCAGGCAGGCCUAUGCUCGAAUACAUUAGCAUGGAAUAAUAAAAUAGGACGCGCGGUUCUAUUUUGUUGGUUUAUAGGACCGCCGUAAUGAUUAAUAGGGACAGUCGGGGGCAUCAGUAUUCAACUGUCAGAGGUGAAAUUCUUGGAUCAGUUGAAGACUAACUACUGCGAAAGCAUUUGCCAAGGAUGUUUUCAUUAAUCAGGGACGAAAGUUAGGGGAUCGAAGACGAUCAGAUACCGUCGUAGUCUUUAACCAUAAACUAUGGCCGACUAGGGGUCGGACGUGUUAUUCAUGACCCGUUCGGCACCUUACGAAGAAUCCAAGUGCUUGGGCUCCGGGGGGAGAUUGGUCACCAGGCUAAAACUUAAAGAAAUUGACGGAAGGGCACCGCCGGGGGUGGAGCCUGCGGUUUAAUUUUACUCGACACCGGGAAACUCACAAGUCCCAGAGAGAUAAGGUUUGACAGAUUGUAGUGAUCUUUCUUGAUUUUGGGGUCGGGGUGAAAUGGACGUCCUUAAUUGGCGGGGUGACUAUGCGUGCAUAAUACAGAAGACAGAGGACACUGUGU